This 378-nucleotide ribosomal RNA is filed under the name uncultured eukaryote. RNAcentral describes it as "partial 18S ribosomal RNA". It matches the Rfam family "Eukaryotic small subunit ribosomal RNA", at positions 592 to 975 of the family's 1831-position model. The record is from RNAcentral.
CAAUAGCGUAUAUUUAAGUUGUUGCAGUUAAAAAGCUCGUAGUUGGAUUUCGGCUGGGACUUGCCGGUCCGUCGUUUCGAUGUGCACUGGCCAGUCCUAUCUUGUUGUCGGGGACUAGCUCCUGGGCUUCACUGUCCGGGACUAGGAGCUGACGAGGUUACUUUGAGUAAAUUAGAGUGUUCAAAGCAAGCCUACGCUCUGAAUACAUUAGCAUGGAAUAACACGAUAGGACUCUGGCUUAUCUUGUUGGUCUGUGAGACCAGAGUAAUGAUUAAGAGGGACAGUCGGGGGCAUUCGUAUUUCAUUGUCAGAGGUGAAAUUCUUGGAUUUAUGAAAGACGAACUUCUGCGAAAGCAUUUGUCAAGGAUGUUUUCAUUA